This 404-nucleotide unclassified non-coding RNA is filed under the name soil metagenome. RNAcentral's name for it is "partial contains 5.8S ribosomal RNA, internal transcribed spacer 2, and large subunit ribosomal RNA". The stretch from base 1 to 122 matches the Rfam family "5.8S ribosomal RNA", at positions 35 to 154 of the family's 154-position model. The record is from RNAcentral.
GAUGAAGAACGUAGCAAAAUGCGAUACUUGGUGUGAAUUGCAGAAUCCCGUGAACCAUCGAGUUUUUGAACGCAAGUUGCGCCCGAAGCCUUUUGGCCGAGGGCACGUCUGCCUGGGCGUCACGCAUCGCGUCGCCCCCCACAAUUCUCCGUAAAAGGAACAUGUGUUUUGGGGGCGGAUAUUGGUCUCCCGUGCUCAUGGCGUGGUUGGCCGAAAUAGGAGUCCUUUCGAUGGACGCACGAACUAGUGGUGGUCGUAAAAACCCUCGUCUUUUGUUUCGUGCUGUUUCUCGCAAGGUAAACUCUUUAAAAACCCCAAUGUGUCGUCUCUUGACGACGCUUCGACCGCGACCCCAGGUCAGGCGGGACUACCCGCUGAGUUUAAGCAUAUCAAUAAGCGGAGGA